RNAcentral lists this ribosomal RNA (251 nucleotides) under uncultured bacterium. Its description in RNAcentral is "partial 16S ribosomal RNA". It matches the Rfam family "Bacterial small subunit ribosomal RNA", at positions 527 to 779 of the family's 1533-position model. The record is from RNAcentral.
CGGAGGUGCAAGCGUUAUCCGGAUUUAUUGGGUUUAAAGGGUCCGUAGGCGGACUCGUAAGUCAGUGGUGAAAUCUCAUAGCUUAACUAUGAAACUGCCAUUGAUACUGCGGGUCUUGAGUAAAGUAGAAGUGGCUGGAAUAAGUAGUGUAGCGGUGAAAUGCAUAGAUAUUACUUAGAACACCAAUUGCGAAGGCAGGUCACUAUGUUUAACUGACGCUGAUGGACGAAAGCGUGGGAGCGAACAGGAUU